Molecule: ribosomal RNA, 433 nt
Filed under: uncultured bacterium
Lineage: Bacteria
Description: partial 16S ribosomal RNA
Rfam family: Bacterial small subunit ribosomal RNA
Source: RNAcentral
AACGAACGCUGGCGGCAUGCCUAACACAUGCAAGUCGAACGAGACCUUCGGGUCUAGUGGCGCACGGGUGCGUAACGCGUGGGAACCUGCCCUUAGGUUCGGAAUAACUCACCGAAAGGGGUGCUAAUACCGGAUAAUGUCUUCGGACCAAAGAUUUAUCGCCUUUGGAUGGGCCCGCGUUGGAUUAGCUAGUUGGUAGGGUAAAAGCCUACCAAGGCGACGAUCCAUAGCUGGUCUGAGAGGAUGAUCAGCCACACUGGGACUGAGACACGGCCCAGACUCCUACGGGAGGCAGCAGUGGGGAAUAUUGGACAAUGAGCGAAAGCCUGAUCCAGCAAUGCCGCGUGAGUGAUGAAGGCCUUAGGGUUGUAAAGCUCUUUUACCCGGGAUGAUAAUGACAGUACCGGGAGAAUAAGCUCCGGCUAACUACGUG